GACAUCUUAGCUCCAAUCCAAUCAACUUUUAUUCCUUUGGAAGCGUACAGAGUUGGCAGGCCUUUUGAGCCAGUUGUACAGUUAUACCACUGACCUUCCAAUUACAGGCAGGGGCUGAUGGUCCACUCUACUACAGCAAUUCAGUCAGACUACAUCAGUCAUUCAUUUCAUUUCACUCAUCAGAUAGUUUUGUACUGUCAGAAUAAAUAGUCUGGUUAACAAUAACAAAGACAACUUCAGAAAGGUACAAAACAGCUAUAGAGCACUGAAUAUACUGUAUGUUUACAAUUGUAAGCAUAGAAGACUUCACUUAAUAUAAGUUACUGUAGUUUUGUUAUGUCCCGAAGCCCAGUUUACAGUAAAUAUGUAGUGUAGUGUGACCUUUGAUUCUAUUCGAAGGCAUGUCAUGAUGUAAUGACAGAAGAGUAAGGUGCCUAGUACUUGGUUUGGUCUGUGGUACACUGUGUCUGUGUGGGGGGUGGGGGCGGGCAAGGACGAAGGAUGAGUACCCCGCUGGCCCCAUAUAAGAACACAAACACAUGGGUGCAUGACAUCCCACCCGGCGUACAGACACAGCCCAUGUGACCGGCUGGCUCAGAGACAGCUGUGACUGUCUAACUGUGGCCCAGGUCAGAUCCUGGCCCGGAUCACAUGCUGCUUAACCCACGUCCAUGUCAGACCGCUAAUCAGUGACCAAUGUAAACGGACCUCUCAAAGCUAUCUUGGACGAGGCACCGUACCCCGUCUUGUGGAUUGAAAAGAGAUAGAGAGAGUGUGUGUGUGUUUCUGUGUAUGUGUGUGUGUGUGUGUGUGUGUGUGUGUUGGAGGGAAAGCGCUUCAGUGGCAGUGGACACUGACAGAAGUGGUCAUUCCUUGACAUUCCUGCUGGGUUAUGGUGGGGACAUGUAUUACGGUUGGGGCAGGUAUCCUGCUGAGUUAUGGUGGGGACCUGUAUUACGGUUAUGGUGGGGACAGGUAUUACGGUUGGGGCAGGUAUGUUGCUGGGUUAUGGUGGGGACCUGUAUUACGGUUGGGGCAGGUAUCCUGCUGGGUUAUGGUGGGGAUCUGUAUUACGGUUGGGGCAGGUAUCCUGCUGGGUUAUGGUGGGGACCUGUAUUACGGUUGGGGCAGGUAUCCUGCUGAGUUAUGGUGGGGAUCUGUAUUACGGUUGGGGCAGGUAUCCUGCUGGGUUAUGGUGGGGACCUGCAUUACGGUUGGGGCAGGUAUCCUGCUGGGUUAUGGUGGGGACCUGCAUUACAGUUGGGGCAGGUAUCCUGUUGCAGCAGCCCACCCUACUUCUGCCCUUUCCAGAGCACCUCCUCCCAGCAAACCUGUUGCCUAACCAGAGUCCCCCAGACUGGACUGAACGUGCACUUCUUGUACUGUCCCGCCUGUUCUGUAUGGACAUGCAGAUAUGGUACUGUAGCCACACACUGGGGCUGUUCGACAGUACGUAUCAGACGACAGCAAUUUAUCAUUGCAUUAAGACAUCUAAGCGCAGCUUACAUAAAUUCCUGAGUGUCCCAUUUGAGGGAAAUAGCCUUAUUCACCCGAACCCGCCAUCAUGUCUCUUUGCCUGGUGUAGACUACAGACAGCACCAUAGACAGUACAACGUUCAGCUAAGUGGAGUAACAUCAUUGCUUUGAUCCAGUAGUAAUGACAUGAAUGCUGUCCUUUUAAGAAUGUAGUGCAUUAUUUUGGGGUCACCUUGGACUCCAGUCUAUCGGUGUAAUCUGGUUUGUCUGAUACUGGCCCUCUACCUCCUCCACCAUCUCUCCAGCUGACAUAUCUAUUGGUCCUUUGACAGCCCCUCAGACCCACUGUAAUCUAGUCACAGGCUUCUCCUUCAGUCAGCUGUUGUUGCUGGGAUGAAUGGCGACUCGCCUUUACAAAGUGUAUAGGAGUUAAGUGUGUCUCAAUGUCAAAGUGCAGCUGGAAAACUGGAUAGAAGGGGGGAUGAGUGUUGAUUCAUGUGGUCUAAAUAACAUGCAGCUUUAAGAGGCUGGUGCUGACAUUGUUGCAUCGAGAAUGAUGGAUGGUCAGUAGUAUUCUUAGGCACUGGAUAAAAUCAAAGCAACUGUUCAUCAUAAUCAAACAAAUUCUCAAAAUAGGUGUUAUAUUAUUGCUGUAGAAUUGUUAUAUAAUUCAGUAUGUACCAUAAGGCUUUUGGUGCAGUCAGUGUUUGCUGAGAGAGACAGUGAGUAUAUUUAUAGAAGGUUGGAAAGCAGGGCCUAUCUACUUGUCAGUGCUUUUAAAAUUGUGCAUCUUUUUAAAUUGUUGCUGUAUUUAUUUUUUAUUGGAGUUAGAUGGUACCGUAUGGAUGGUGUAUUUUUAUUUCCCUAUGUUUGUUUUUUGUGUUUUAAAUUAGGUUUUGUUUGUGAUGCCUGUUUUGGCCAGUACACUCCUGAAAUAGAUUUGUAAUCUUUCCUGGAUAAAGGUUAAAUAAAAAUAAAUCCCAGCUUCAUUGUUUACCUGGCCCCACUAUCAAUGAUCCCAUUCAGUGUUUACCUGGCCCCUCUAUCAAUGAUCCCAUUCAGGGUUUUAC
Esox lucius (northern pike) is the source of this 2546-nucleotide long non-coding RNA. The record is from Ensembl. Lineage: Eukaryota; Metazoa; Chordata; Actinopteri; Esociformes; Esocidae.